This 496-nucleotide ribosomal RNA is filed under the name uncultured bacterium. Its description in RNAcentral is "partial 16S ribosomal RNA". It matches the Rfam family "Bacterial small subunit ribosomal RNA", at positions 29 to 507 of the family's 1533-position model. The record is from RNAcentral.
AUGCACGCUGGCGGCGUGCCUAAUACAUGCAAGUCGAGCGAACGGACGAGAAGCUUGCUUCUCUGAUGUUAGCGGCGGACGGGUGAGUAACACGUGGAUAACCUACCUAUAAGACUGGGAUAACUUCGGGAAACCGGAGCUAAUACCGGAUAAUAUUUUGAACCGCAUGGUUCAAAAGUGAAAGACGGUCUUGCUGUCACUUAUAGAUGGAUCCGCGCUGCAUUAGCUAGUUGGUAAGGUAACGGCUUACCAAGGCAACGAUGCAUAGCCGACCUGAGAGGGUGAUCGGCCACACUGGAACUGAGACACGGUCCAGACUCCUACGGGAGGCAGCAGUAGGGAAUCUUCCGCAAUGGGCGAAAGCCUGACGGAGCAACGCCGCGUGAGUGAUGAAGGUCUUCGGAUCGUAAAACUCUGUUAUUAGGGAAGAACAUAUGUGUAAGUAACUGUGCACAUCUUGACGGUACCCAAUCAGAAAGCCACGGCUAACUACGUG